GGAGGAAAAGAAACCAACAGGGAUUCCCCCAGUAACGGCGAGCGAACGGGGAAGAGCCCAGCGCCGAAUUCCGCGUCCCUCGUGGGCGUCUGGAAAAUGUGGCGUUUAGGAGGGAUCGUGCCGUGGGUGGAGCGUGCAGCAAGUCCCCCUGACCGGGGCUGUUACCCAGAGUGGGUGCGAGGCCCAUAGCUGCUAGGUCCCCCGCGGAUGUCACCUCUUGGGAGUCGGGUUGCUUGGGAGUGCAGCCCUAAUUGGGUGGUAAACUCCACCUAAGGCUAAAUACGGCCGUGAGACCGAUAGCAAACAAGUACCGUGAGGGAAAGUUGCAAAGAACUUUGAAGAGAGAGUUCAAGAGUACGUGAAACCGCUCAGAGGCAAACGGGUGGGCCCUCGAAAUCCGAUGGCGGGGGGAUUCAGUCAGGUGGUGCGGAGGCGUCGCCGGCCGUUCACACGGACCCGUCCAGGCCGGGCCGGUGGCGAGAGUCUCCGUCCUCCCUGACGCACUUCCUCCCGCUCGUAGGACGCCGCAACC
RNAcentral lists this ribosomal RNA (532 nucleotides) under Liphistius cf. murphyorum LP335. RNAcentral's name for it is "eukaryotic LSU rRNA". It matches the Rfam family "Eukaryotic large subunit ribosomal RNA", at positions 52 to 507 of the family's 3401-position model. The record is from RNAcentral. Lineage: Eukaryota; Metazoa; Arthropoda; Arachnida; Araneae; Liphistiidae.